AAUUAAAUGGACCACUCGAACCUGCAUUCUUGUAACUGAAACGUAACAAAAAAAAAUGUAGCUGUGUCAAGAACCGUAUCAAGUAUAUGGUAAGGUGCACCGAGUGACGAAACAAUGGCGUGUGCUAUUUUUGAUGAGUUUAGUUAGAUAUCCAGUUAAAAAAGGCACAUGUUAGGCAAAGGCAAGCAACUGAUCAUGAUUGGAAAUACUGUGCUCAAAACAGGCAUAUAGAGCUUUCAUCCCGCCCUGGAUUUUGCCAUUUCGACGAGGAAAUUAAAGCCUUGAUCUUAGUGCGGUCUUCAUUUUUCUCGCCGAGCUGUUGGAUGCUAGAUGAGGCAAGCAACCACUGGGACUGAUCAGGCUGCCAAGAACUGCACUUAAAUGCCCACCUCAGACUUGCCAUGAUGCUCUGAAAUGUUUGACAUGUCAAAACAAAAUGAAUGGAGUACCAGCACUACAUGUACUUCUCCUGAGAACAUUAAAAGAACGGUUUCCUACCUUACUUCUGACACUCCUUAUCCUUCCAGUCAGAUCCUU
RNAcentral lists this unclassified non-coding RNA (537 nucleotides) under Lytechinus variegatus (green sea urchin). RNAcentral's name for it is "reticulon-4 receptor-like 2, transcript variant X3". The record is from RNAcentral. Lineage: Eukaryota; Metazoa; Echinodermata; Echinoidea; Temnopleuroida; Toxopneustidae.